This 1058-nucleotide ribosomal RNA is filed under the name uncultured archaeon. RNAcentral's name for it is "bacterial SSU rRNA". It matches the Rfam family "Archaeal small subunit ribosomal RNA", at positions 1 to 1054 of the family's 1478-position model. The record is from RNAcentral.
CGUUGAUCCCGGCUGAGGCCAUUGCUAUCGGAGUCCGAUUUAGCCAUGCUAGUCGCACGAGUUCAUACUCGUGGCAAAUAGCUCAGUAACACGUGGCCAAACUGCCCUACGGAUCACGAUAACCUCGGGAAACUGAGGCUAAUCGUGAAUACAGCUCUCAUGCUGGAGUUGCAGAGAGCUGGAAACGCUCCGGCGCCGUAGGAUGUGGCUGCGGCCGAUUAGGUAGACGGUGGAGUAACGGCCCACCGUGCCGAUAAUCGGUACGGGUUGUGAGAGCAAGAGCCCGGAGACGGUAUCUGAGACAAGAUACCGGGCCCUACGGGGCGCAGCAGGCGCGAAACCUUUACACUGCACGACAGUGCGAUAAGGGGACUCCGAGUGCGAGGGCAUACAGUCCUCGCUUUUCUGUACCGUAGGGUGGUACAGGAACAAGUGCUGGGCAAGACCGGUGCCAGCCGCCGCGGUAAUACCGGCAGCACGAGUGAUGGCCGAUUUUAUUGGGCCUAAAGCGUCCGUAGCCGGCCAGUCAAGUUCGUCGGGAAAUCUGCCCGCUUAACGGGCAGGCGUCCGGCGAAAACUGACUGGCUUGGGGCCGGGAGAUCUGAGGGGUACGUCCGGGGUAGGAGUGAAAUCCCGUAAUCCUGGACGGACCACCGGUGGCGAAAGCGCCUCAGAAAAACGGACCCGACGGUGAGGGACGAAAGCUAGGGUCUCGAACCGGAUUAGAUACCCGGGUAGUCCUAGCCGUAAACGAUGCUCGCUAGGUGUGUGGGCGCGCAGGCUUACGAAGCCUGCCGCUGUGCCGUAAGGGAAGCCGUGAAGCGAGCCGCCUGGGAAGUACGUCUGCAAGGAUGAAACUUAAAGGAAUUGGCGGGGGAGCACUACAACCGGAGGAGCCUGCGGUUUAAUUGGACUCAACGCCGGACAUCUCACCAGCACCGACAGUAGUAGUGACGGUCAGGUUGAUGACCUUACCCGAGCUACUGAGAGGAGGUGCAUGGCCGCCGUCAGCUCGUACCGUGAGGCGUCCUGUUAAGUCAGGCAACGAGCGAGACCCA